Molecule: non-coding RNA, 173 nt
Organism: Brevibacillus panacihumi W25
Lineage: Bacteria; Bacillati; Bacillota; Bacilli; Caryophanales; Paenibacillaceae
Source: Rfam
UCCACCGCGAGGUGGAAUCUGAAGGAAGUCUGCGGCAAACCUCCGGCCUGAGGAACACGAACUUCAUAUGAGGCUAACGAUAGCUGGAUGAGUCUGCCAUACAAGACGAAGUCCAUGUUGCCAAAGGCUAUCGGGAGUAAAUGAAGCAGGUGGAUGGAGGGAAAGACAACGUU